Molecule: ribosomal RNA, 115 nt
Filed under: Alphaproteobacteria bacterium
Lineage: Bacteria; Pseudomonadati; Pseudomonadota; Alphaproteobacteria
Also listed under: 1 other name
Source: RNAcentral
CCAGGUGGUUAUGGCACAGGUGUCCCACCCGAUCCCAUUCCGAACUCGGCCGUGAAAGCUUGUAGCGCCGAUGGUACUUUGUCUUAAGGCACGGGAGAGUAGGUCGUCGCCUGGU